GGAUUGCAGUCUGCAACUCGAGUGCAUGAAGCUGGAAUCGCUAGUAAUCGCGGAUCAGAAUGCCGCGGUGAAUACGUUCCCGGGUCUUGUACACACCGCCCGUCACACCAUGGGAGUCGAUAACGCCCGAAGUCAGUGACCCAACCUUAUAGGAGGGAGCUGCCGAAGGCGGGAUUGAUAACUGGGGUGAAGUCGUAACAAGGUACC
This 207-nucleotide ribosomal RNA is filed under the name uncultured bacterium. Its description in RNAcentral is "partial 16S ribosomal RNA". It matches the Rfam family "Bacterial small subunit ribosomal RNA", at positions 1295 to 1500 of the family's 1533-position model. The record is from RNAcentral.